CAUUAAGUGGCUGAAAUUUUAAGCAUUGGUCUCUUAAACCAAAAAAUAGUAAAUUAUACCUACUCUUAAUGA
RNAcentral lists this transfer RNA (72 nucleotides) under Rubiconia intermedia. Its description in RNAcentral is "tRNA-Lys". It matches the Rfam family "tRNA". Rfam says of the family: Transfer RNA (tRNA) molecules are approximately 80 nucleotides in length. Their secondary structure includes four short double-helical elements and three loops (D, anti-codon, and T loops). The record is from RNAcentral. Lineage: Eukaryota; Metazoa; Arthropoda; Insecta; Hemiptera; Pentatomidae.